Molecule: ribosomal RNA, 774 nt
Filed under: uncultured bacterium
Lineage: Bacteria
Description: bacterial SSU rRNA
Rfam family: Bacterial small subunit ribosomal RNA
Source: RNAcentral
GCAUUUGAAACUGGCAGGCUAGAGUCUUGUAGAGGGGGGUAGAAUUUCAGGUGUAGCGGUGAAAUGCGUAGAGAUCUGAAGGAAUACCAGUGACGAAGGCGGCCCCCUGGACAAAGACUGACGCUCAGAUGCGAAAGCGUGGGUAGCAAACAGGAUUAGAUACCCUGGUAGUCCACGCCGUAAACGCUGUCUACUUGGAGGUUGAGGUUUAGACUUUGGCUUUCGGCGCUGACGCAUUAAGUAGACCGCCUGGGGAGUACGGCCGCAAGGUUAAAACUCAAAUGAAUUGACGGGGGCCCGCACAAGCGGUGGAGCAUGUGGUUUAAUUCGAUGCAACGCGAAGAACCUUACCUACUCUUGACAUCCAGUGAACUUUCCAGAGAUGGAUUGGUGCCUUCGGGAACACUGAGACAGGUGCUGCAUGGCUGUCGUCAGCUCGUGUUGUGAAAUGUUGGGUUAAGUCCCGCAACGAGCGCAACCCUUAUCCUUGUUUGCCAGCACGUAAUGGUGGGAACUCCAGGGAGACUGCCGGUGAUAAACCGGAGGAAGGUGGGGGCGACGUCAAGUCAUCAUGGCCCUUACGAGUAGGGCUACACACGUGCUACAAUGGCAGAUACAGAGGGCAGCGAAGCUGCGAAGUGGAGCGAAUCCCUUAAAGUCUGUCGUAGUCCGGAUUGGAGUCUGCAACUCGACUCCAUGAAGUCGGAAUCGCUAGUAAUCGUGGAUCAGAAUGCCACGGUGAAUACGUUCCCGGGCCUUGUACACACCGCCCGU